GUGCUCACCUUCAGCAGAACAUAUACUAAAAUUAGAACAAUACAGAGGUUAGCGUGGCCCCUGUGCAAGGAUGACACACAAAUUCAUGAAGCAUAUUAAAGACAU
This is a small nuclear RNA of Manis pentadactyla (Chinese pangolin), 105 nucleotides long. Lineage: Eukaryota; Metazoa; Chordata; Mammalia; Pholidota; Manidae. The record is from RefSeq and is a predicted model, not a curated record.